UGGGGAAUAUUGGACAAUGGGCGCAAGCCUGAUCCAGCCAUGCCGCGUGAGUGACGAAGGCCUUAGGGUUGUAAAGCUCUUUUGGCGGGGAAGAUAAUGACGGUACCCGCAGAAUAAGCUCCGGCUAACUUCGUGCCAGCAGCCGCGGUAAUACGAAGGGAGCUAGCGUUGUUCGGAAUCACUGGGCGUAAAGCGCACGUAGGCGGACUUUCAAGUCAGAGGUGAAAUCCCCGGGCUCAACCUGGGAACUGCCUCUGUGACUGCAAGGCUGGAGUGCGGCAGAGGGGGAUCGAAUUCCGCGUGUAGCAGUGAAAUGCGUAGAUAUGCGGAGGAACACCGAUGGCGAAGGCAAUCCCCUGGGCCUGCACUGACGCUCAUGCACGAAAGCGUGGGGAGCAAACA
RNAcentral lists this ribosomal RNA (402 nucleotides) under uncultured bacterium. RNAcentral's name for it is "bacterial SSU rRNA". It matches the Rfam family "Bacterial small subunit ribosomal RNA", at positions 355 to 774 of the family's 1533-position model. The record is from RNAcentral.